GCGGAGGAAAAGAAACCAACAGGGAUUGCCUCAGUAACGGCGAGUGAAGCGGCAACAGCUCAAAUUUGAAAUCUGGCCUCACGGUCCGAGUUGUAAUUUGUAGAGGAUGUUUCGAGCAUGGUCCGGCCUAAGUGUCUUGGAACAGGACGUCAUAGAGGGUGAGAACCCCGUAUGCGGUCGGGUGCCUACGCUCAUGUGAAACUCCUUCGACGAGUCGAGUUGUUUGGGAAUGCAGCUCAAAAUGGGUGGUAAAUUUCAUCUAAAGCUAAAUAUUGGCCAGAGACCGAUAGCGCACAAGUAGAGUGAUCGAAAGAUGAAAAGCACUUUGGAAAGAGAGUUAAACAGUACGUGAAAUUGUUGAAAGGGAAGCGCUUGCAACCAGACUUGGGCGCGGCCGAUCAUCCGGUGUUCUCACCGGUGCACUCGGUCGCGUGCAGGCCAGCAUCGGUUCUGGUGGCUGGAUAAAGGCCCUAGGAAUGUGGCUCCUCUCGGGGAGUGUUAUAGCCUAGGGUGCAAUGCAGCCUACCGGGACCGAGGACCGCGCUUCGGCUAGGAUGCUGGCGUAAUGGUUGUAAGUGACCCGUCUUGAAACACGGACCAAGGAGUCUAACAUCUAUGCGAGUGUUUGGGUGUCAAACCCAUACGCGUAAUGAAAGUGAACGGAGGUGAGAACCCUUAAGGGUGCAUCAUCGACCGAUCCUGAUGUCUUCGGAUGGAUUUGAGUAUGAGCAUAGCUGUUGGGACCCGAAAGAUGGUGAACUAUGCCUGACUAGGGUGAAGCCAGAGGAAACUCUGGUGGAGGCUCGC
This 807-nucleotide unclassified non-coding RNA is filed under the name Bettsia alvei. RNAcentral's name for it is "sequence contains 28S rRNA gene". It matches the Rfam family "Eukaryotic large subunit ribosomal RNA", at positions 50 to 878 of the family's 3401-position model. Lineage: Eukaryota; Fungi; Ascomycota; Leotiomycetes. The record is from RNAcentral.